RNAcentral lists this ribosomal RNA (503 nucleotides) under uncultured Gammaproteobacteria bacterium. Its description in RNAcentral is "bacterial SSU rRNA". It matches the Rfam family "Bacterial small subunit ribosomal RNA", at positions 71 to 573 of the family's 1533-position model. The record is from RNAcentral. Lineage: Bacteria; Pseudomonadati; Pseudomonadota; Gammaproteobacteria.
UGAUCUAGCUUGCUAGAUUGAUGGCGAGUAGCGGACGGGUGAGUAACGCGUAGGAAUCUGCCUCGAGGGGGGGGACAACUUGUGGAAACGCAAGCUAAUACCGCAUAAUACCUGAGGGUUAAAGCUAGCUUCGGCUGGCGCCAAGAGAUGAGCCUGCGUCCGAUUAGCUAGUUGGUAGGGUAAAGGCCUACCAAGGCGACGAUCGGUAGCUGUUCUGAGAGGAAGAUCACCCACACUGGGACUGAGACACGGCCCACACUCCUACGGGAGGCAGCAGUGGGGAAUAUUGGACAAUGGGGGCAACCCUGAUCCAGCAAUGCCACGUGUGUGAAGAAGGCCUUAGGGUUGUAAAGCACUUUCAUUAGUGAGGAAGGUAUUUAGGUUAAGAGCUAAGAUACUUGACGUUAGCUAAGGAAGAAGCACCGGCUAACUCUGUGCCAGCACCCGCGGUAAUACAGAGGGUGCAAGCGUUAAUCGGAAUUACUGGGCGUAAAGGGUCCGUA